Molecule: RNA transcript, 3174 nt
Organism: Jaculus jaculus (lesser Egyptian jerboa)
Lineage: Eukaryota; Metazoa; Chordata; Mammalia; Rodentia; Dipodidae
Gene: Gpatch11
Gene name: G-patch domain containing 11
Exons: 9
Source: RefSeq, a predicted model, not a curated record
CAUGCGCGGCGCGCUCUCCGGCGCCUUGGGAACCAGGCCGCGGGCAGGUGGUCAGCCCCAGGCGGGCAGGCCAUCGCUGGACAGUGCGGCCAGGUGUGCCGGCCCUUCAUACCGAGUCUUGAUUUCGAGAGCUCCACAAAUGAUGUUCAAAAGGCAUUUGAGGAUGAGGUAGAGUUCUGGAGAAAGUCCGUGACCAGGAGCCUCUCCAUACUGGCGAUCUCUGCGCCUAUUGCUGUCUUGCAUUAAACUUGUACAUCGUUUUGCCAGAUGAAGUCGAACAUGGAGGAAGAGGAGGACUACAUGUCUGAUUCCUUCAUUAAUGUCCAAGAAGAUAUUAGACCAGGAAUCCCCAUGCUGAGGCAGAUCCGAGAAGCCCAUCGAAAAGAAAAAAAGCAGCAAGAAGCUAACCUGAAAAGCAGGCAGAAGAGUUUAAAAGAGGAAGAACGGGAAAGACGUGACAUUGGGUUGAAGAAUGCACUAGGCUGUGAAAACAAAGGGUUUGCUUUGCUUCAAAAGAUGGGGUAUAAAAGUGGCCAGGCUCUUGGCAAGAGUGGAGGUGGUAUUGUUGAACCAAUUCCUCUCCAUGUCAAAACAGGGAAAAGUGGCAUAGGUCACGAAUCAUUAUUAAAACGCAAAGCAGAGGAGAAAUUAGAAAACCACAGAAGAAAGAUGCACAUGAGAAACCAAGCAGCAGAAAGAGCGACGGAAGACUUUCGGAUGCGACUUAAAAAUAAACAAGAUGAAAUGAGGCUGGAAGGAGAUCUUAGAAGAAGCCAGCGAGCUUGUCAGCAGUUGGAUGCCCAGAAGAAUAUUCAGGUUCCCAGGGAGGCAUGGUACUGGUUAAGGCCUGAAGAGGAGGCUGAGGAAGAGGAAGAAGAAAAAGAGCAGGACGACGACGAAUACCCGGGUGAAGACUUGAGUGUACGCUGGGGCGCCGUUUCUCUCCUUCACAGCGCAGGGCCUCGACCUUGGGCACCGUUGCUGGAGCGCCGAGCGCUGGGUCCUGGAAAAAUUACAGAUACUGACUAGUUAUUUAAGAGAAGAACAUCUGUACUGUAUUUGGUGUGGAACAGCCUAUGAAGAUAAAGAUGACCUGUCUUCAAAUUGCCCGGGACCAACCUCUGCAGAUCAUGACUAACACUGUUCCCAGUAAAGUAAAACUGUUAAUGCCAGCGAUGAAAGAAGCCCUUUGUAUAAUACUUUAUCCUUUUUGUGCUUUGCAGAUAUGUUCUUUAGAACAUAAUUGUUCACUGACUUGAAAAGAAAUGAUUCAAUGUCACUUGAGAACACAAAUAUCAUAGACUUUGACAGUUACAGUUUAUGGCUGUGUCAUGAUGCUUGUGGAGUUUAAGGACACCAACCAUAGCUCUCUUACCACCCCCCAACCUUAGAACGCAUUGGGGAAUGAAGCAUGGGAGACAGGAGAAGAUGAAAAUGCCAACUUUAGGGCCAGAGAUAUAGUUCAGUGGUCAAGUGCCUGGCUAGCAUGCACAAGGCCCAAGGUUCAAUCCCAGCACCUCAACUUCAGCAUUGCCAGCAGUGAAACUGAAGGACAGAACGUGGCUGACUUUUUCUCUGUUCAGAUUCCCUAAUAUUUCUCCCUGAUUGGAGAAAACCCUAGGUCUCUCUUCUGCCUCGUGGAAGAGGCUCACUUCUUGCAUUUGGAGCAUUCAGCUCUCAAAGGUAGGGAGUUCAUCACGGGCCGAGCUGCACAUGCUCAGUUCUUUGUGUCACCUGUCAGAAGCAACACCUCUCCGCUGGAUAGGGAAGGGUUCCGAGAGCUUGUUUCCAUUCUUCUGUCUCCCCAAAAGCAGAGAGAAGUUCCCUCCUGGUCAGCCCACCGGGACAGGGAGGAAAGUCUCCUGAGUAAGACUGGCAUCCCAGGCCGAGGUCCAGACACACGCACCACCUUGUGCACUUGCGUCACCUUGUGCAUCUGGCUUACAUGGGGUCUAGAGAGUUGAACAUGGGUCCUUAGGCUUCAAGGCAAGUGACUUUGCCACUAAGCCAUCUCUCCAGCUCUAGUUCAUUAAUUUUUAAUACUCUACAGUACUUCCAUAUAUGUAUAAAAAUUUUAAUCUUCUCUCUUUUCUGUGUGUGGUGUUUGUGUAUGUGUCCGUGUGUGUGUACAAUUAUGUGGGCACAAAAUGUUUUCCUCGAUUGUGUUCCACCUCACUAUUAACUUAUUUAUAUAUGUGUGCGGGCAUGCCAGAGUCUCUUGCCACUGUAAACAAACACCAGGUGUCUGGCUUUACGUACGUGGCUGGGAAGUUAAAAUGGGACUGGCAGGCUUUGCAAGCAAGCACCUUUAACUGCUGAACAAUCUCUGCGGCCCCUCUACCUUGUCUUUUGGGGCAGGUCUCUCACUGAACCUGGAACUCACUGAUUCUUGUCACUAGAGACCUGACAGAAGAAACCUAAGGAAGGAAAGGUUUACUUUGUAUCACACUCUCAGAGGGCACAGUGCACCAUGAGAGAAGGCUUGUCACAGUCUGACACCAUGCUGGCGGGAGUGUGCCCUGGACCACACAGGCACCUGGUCAUCUCACACAACAAAAUGUGUUUCAUUCAACUUCAAAAGUUCCCGCACUCUUAAUAGCUCUGCUCAGAGGUCUAAAGUCCUUUGAGAAGCAAAGAAAAACUCUUAUGAGCUCCUAUAGGAUUUUUUAAAAAUGUACAUGCUUCCAAGAAAUGAUGGCAAAGCAAAUAUUCCCAUCCCAGAAACAGUAAGAAUGGGGAGACAGUACAAAAGAAACAUAAGGAUUGGACCAAAGCAAGACAAAACCCAGUAGGGCAAACAAUCCUAUAGCUCCGUAGCAGAUACCUUUGCUCACAUUAUUUUUUGGCCUUCAUAUCCUGCAGUAUUGUGCAGGUGGCCUCAGGCUUGCAGGAUGCCUUUUUAUAUCCUAUUGCUGUUUUCCUUCCCCAUUCUCAGGAUAAACCUGGUAAAUAUACCCUGAAUGUUAUGCUGCCUUGAAAUUUCCUCGAAUAAAUUAGUUUGUUACUUCUGAGUUCUUUAAUUCAGAAACUAAUACAUAUGUCCCCUGUCCAGUCCAAUUCCCAGUUGGGUCCUUGUUCUCUGAAAUUUCAUGAGCCCAGACAGACUGUACUAUCUGCAUUUGUGUAUGUGUGUGUUGUGGAAAGAAUAAAGGUAUGCAUAUUUGUGUAUGUAUA